This 232-nucleotide ribosomal RNA is filed under the name uncultured bacterium. Its description in RNAcentral is "partial 16S ribosomal RNA". It matches the Rfam family "Bacterial small subunit ribosomal RNA", at positions 105 to 334 of the family's 1533-position model. The record is from RNAcentral.
CGACGGUGAGUAACACGUAUCCAACCUGCCGUCUACUCUUGACAGCCUUCUGAAAGGAAGAUUAAUACAAGAUGGCAUCAUGAGUCCGCAUGUUCACAUGAUUAAAGGUAUUCCGGUAGACGAUGGGGAUGCGUUCCAUUAGAUAGUAGGCGGGGUAACGGCCCACCUAGUCUUCGAUGGAUAGGGGUUCUGAGAGGAAGGUCCCCCACAUUGGAACUGAGACACGGUCCAA